RNAcentral lists this ribosomal RNA (429 nucleotides) under Bacteroidota bacterium. RNAcentral describes it as "Bacteroidetes bacterium partial 16S ribosomal RNA". It matches the Rfam family "Bacterial small subunit ribosomal RNA", at positions 355 to 776 of the family's 1533-position model. The record is from RNAcentral. Lineage: Bacteria; Pseudomonadati; Bacteroidota.
UAGGGAAUCUUCGGCAAUGGGGGGAACCCUGACCGAGCAACGCCGCGUGAGUGAAGAAGGUUUUCGGAUCGUAAAGCUCUGUUGUUAAGGAAGAACGAGUGUGAGAAUGGAAAGUUCAUGCUGUGACGGUACUUAACCAGAAAGGGACGGCUAACUACGUGCCAGCAGCCGCGGUAAUACGUAGGUCCCGAGCGUUGUCCGGAUUUAUUGGGCGUAAAGCGAGCGCAGGCGGUUAGAAAAGUCUGAAGUGAAAGGCAGUGGCUCAACCAUUGUAGGCUUUGGAAACUGUUUAACUUGAGUGCAGAAAGGGAGAGUGGAAUUCCAUGUGUAGCGGUGAAAUGCGUAGAUAUAUGGAAGAACACCGGUGGCGAAAGCGGCUCUCUGGUCUGUAACUGUCGCUGAGGCUCGAAAGCGUGGGGAGCGAACAGG